This 503-nucleotide ribosomal RNA is filed under the name uncultured bacterium. Its description in RNAcentral is "partial 16S ribosomal RNA". It matches the Rfam family "Bacterial small subunit ribosomal RNA", at positions 28 to 523 of the family's 1533-position model. The record is from RNAcentral.
GAUGAACGCUAGCGGCAGGCCUAACACAUGCAAGUCGAGGGGUAGCAGGAUUAAGCUUGCUUAAUUGCUGACGACCGGCGCACGGGUGCGUAACGCGUAUGCAACCUACCUUAUACUGGGGUAUAGCCCGGAGAAAUUCGGAUUAAUCCCCCAUAGUACUAAUGAAUCGCAUGGUUUAUUAGUUAAAGCAUUGCGGUAUAAGAUGGGCAUGCGUCCUAUUAGCUAGAUGGUGAGGUAACGGCUCACCAUGGCUACGAUAGGUAGGGGGCCUGAGAGGGUGGUCCCCCACACUGGUACUGAGACACGGACCAGACUCCUACGGGAGGCAGCAGUGAGGAAUAUUGGUCAAUGGGCGCAAGCCUGAACCAGCCAUGCCGCGUGCAGGAAGAAUGCCCUAUGGGUUGUAAACUGCUUUUAUUUGGGAAUAAACCUCUUUACGCGUAGAGAGCUGAAGGUACCAAAUGAAUAAGCACCGGCUAACUCCGUGCCAGCCGCCGCAGUAA